AAAACCAACAACUGUCUCUCGCAUCUAUAAACUUACAUGCACAAUUUUUUUAAUUGCAGUAAGAAUGGCACUUCAGUUCUUUCGUCCAUUUUUUUUUAAUCCCUCUGAAAACACUCAUGCUUUAAAACGAGAAGAAAUAAGCCAAAUUCUACGUUACAUAAAAGAGGCAAAAGCUCUUUAAUUUGAAUUUAACUUCGGGUGUUCGAGUUUUAAUAAAAAGAUGCCAAAAAAUGAAGAUUCUGGGUAAUAGUUACUGGCUGGAAAAAAAAUGGUUGAAUUUCUUGCGAAGAAACAAUUUCCAGGACAUUCAUGAUGCCGAAAAAGAUAUUCCCACUUCAAGUUAUGCUAUUCCAUGAUGGAAAUUCAAUCCAAGGAGCCGAUAGUAGAUUCACCUUGCCAAACUAGUUCUCAAAUCAAAAGCAUAGUUAACUUAUUAGAUGAUAAUAGAAAUGUUAAAGACUCUACUUUAGAAUUCUCUUCUGAAAAUGAGAAUAUUAAUUUUCAAGCUGUUAAACUUGCAUUGGAAACUGAUAUUAUAACUUCUUCUAAGGAUUUGCAUUGCUAUAAUUCGAAGAAAAAUAAUUUGUCUGGCCAAUCUUUUUUGAAUGAUAAUUCAUCUGAUGCAAAAGUGAAAGAGUUUGGUUCAAAUGAAGUAACUGAUAAAUAUAUCAAAUCAAAACUGAUAGACACCCAAGAUUCAAGUACACAUGUAAGGGAAGUUAUAAAUCUAGAAUCAAGUGAUGAUGAGGAAUUGUACUACCCAAAUAAACUAGAUGAAAAAAGUAUUGAUUCGAAUGUAGUGGACACGAAAAAUUUUAUUGAUCAUGGAGAUGUAAAACAAAUUGUUGGUAUAAAUCUACAAUCAGUUGAUGAUGAGGAUCAGUUUCUAUAUGGGUAUUCUGAUCCUCCUUUAAAUGAGGUAAAAACACGUAUUAAUGAGAAAAAAACUGAGAUUUUUUUAAAGUCAAAUUGGAGUGACGAUGAUGAAUUUGACCAACAGGAGAAUGAAGGUUUUGUUAAUAAAUUAGAGUUGAAGGUUAGUGACAAUGUGGAUACUAACAUUGUGGAUCAUCCUCUGUUGCAAAAAAAUAAGUCUUCUUUAUCAAGUUUGUCAUUAACACCUGAUGCUAAGACAGCAGUCAAUAAGUUUAUAAAUGGAAGGGCAGAAGAUUGUAUUUUUUCAAAGCAAGUUAAAAUAAAUGCAGAAAGAAAAGCUAAUCUAACUUCAAGCAGUGCAAUAUGGAGUGAUGAUGAUGAGUAUGAGAUUGAGUUUUUUAAGAACAAACUAUGUUGUGAUAAUAGUAAAUUGAAUGAAAAAUCAUCUUCAUUGAAAGUCAAUGAAAACAAAAUAGCUAAAGGUAUUUUAAAAAAAAUAGUGGGGCAAAGUGAGGAACCAUCCUUAUUAUCAAAUAAUAUUAAAGAAGCUAAUAAUGAAUUGGGAAAUAACAGUAAGGAAGCUUCUGAAAAAGAUGAAGCAAUGUGUAGAAAUGAAAAUGAUUUAAGUGAUGAAAAAUUAAAAAUUCCAAUUCAAUCAGAUCCAUUUUUCAAAGUGAAAAGUAAAUGGGAGAACAGUGAGGAAGAAAAUGAAACUGAAUGUAAUACUUUAUUACUCAAUGCAAUGAUAUCUUCAAAGACAAAGCAAAUUAAUCAACCGAGCAAAUUAAGUAAGUUAAGCUCUAGUAAAAAUUUACCUGAAAGCGGACAAAAUAAUUCAUCUUCAGUAAUAUCUUUCAAUCCUGUAAUGAUUGAUGAUGAUUUUGAAAAAAAUCCUUCAAAAAACUCUGCUACUGAAAGUUCAAAGAAAAAUCACAAAUAUUCAGUUAAAGAUUGUGAUAAAAAAAAGUUUCUGAAAAAUAAAAAUAGUUCGAAAGCAUAUGAUCAUCAAAGACGAUUGGAUCAUGAUUCUAAUUCAAAAAGUAAUUUGCCUUCUGGCAAUCACGUUUCAAAUUCUGGGUCUUACAAACAAAAACAAAUUAUAGAAUAUUCUCAGACUCAAUCUUAUUGGGAUGAGCAAGACUUUUAUUCUAUCAGGGAAAAAUAUACUAAUUAUUCUAGAGGUAAAACUUCUACAUCAAGCUCACAUGAUAGACAUUGUUAUUCACCUUUUAGAAGAAAGGGUGGUAGGCCUAGCAUUUCUCCUCCUAGACAUAGAAGUUAUAGGCAAAGCAUUUCACCUCCUAAACAUAGAAGUUAUAGGCAAAGCAUUUCACCUCCUAGACAAAGAAGUUACAGGCAUAGCCGUUCUCCAAUAAGAAGGUAUAGUAGAUGUCGAUCUAGAAGUCCAAAAUAUUACAGAAGUUCUUAUAGUUCUAAAUAUUCUGCAGAGGGAUCCCCUCACAAUUUUUCAUAUAAUAGAAAAAGACACUCAUUUAGGAGCAGUGAUAGUGAAAGUCUUUCUGAUUUCUCUUUUUCAAGCUCAGGCAGUUAUGGUCAGCAAUCAAGAAAUAGGCCAUUCUCUAGAGCAAAAAACCAAACUAUAAGAAAAAAAUCUAUAACACCUAAGAAAAAUAAAAUGAAGAGUUCAUCAAGAUUAAAUAAAAAAUUAAAGCAAUUUGCAGGGCCAAUUGAAGUACUAGAUUCUUCAAAAGCCAAAGUUCAUGAUAUUGCUCAGAGUUCAAACUUAAUUAAUUGCAAACUUAUGCAAGAUGUAAAAGAAGUUGAAUUGCUUAAAAAGCAAAGAACUGGCGAGCAAAAUAUUGAUAAGGAAAAUUCUGGUUCUGUAUUAUCGAGUAAAGUUUUACCUCCAGAACAAGUAUUACCAGCAGUUCCCUCUUCGUUUCCAGAUUCUCAAAAACUUCAUAAAUCUUAUUCUAAGCAGCCACCUGGCUCUUAUUAUAACAUUCCUUGUUGUGAAGAUGCUCCUUCACAGACAUCUCCCAAAAAUUUAGAACCACGUAAUUGUUCAGAAUACCAUAGUUUUUCUCCAAUUGAUAAUGCAGUGUUUCCAACAGCAGAGAAUAAACAUUCAACUUGCAGAAAAGUUUAUUUAAAAUCUACUCCAAGGAACAAUUUAGUUCAAAUUUCCACAAAAAUCCCUAAAAAAGAUAAGAACUGUAAAAAAACUUGUAAAAUAGCUGAACCUGUGAGUCAAAUUAUUGAAGAAACCAAACUUUUGCCUGAUUUGACUAAUGCUGCAUGCCUUAGAGAUAGCAAAGCAAUUGAUCAAAUCAUUCCUUCAUCCAUAAAAUCAAAUUUCACUUAUCCGUCAAUUUCUAUAUCUAAAUUAAAAGAGUCUGCUGUAAUUUAUGACACAGACCAUACUGAUCAAAAAUAUAAUGCAGAUGUUGAUUUUUAUAAGAAAAACUUUAAAGGUUCUGUUUUUGAUGAGAAAAUUUUAAAAAAGGCACUAAGUAGUAUAAUUAUGAAUAUGGCUGAAACUCGUAAUUUUAUAAAACAGAUAGAAAAUAAAAAAAAUACUUCUAAAAGUGAUAAGAAUGUAUUAAGUUCAUGCAAAAAAUUUAUUGUUCAUGCUGAAAAACAAAGAAAUAUUCUCCUUGGAAAAAUUGAACAAAAGUGUGAAGAUUUAGAAACUUUACAGAAUAUGUUUAAAAAAGAGGACCUUAAAGCAUUGGGAAAAGAAAUUGAAACUAAGAUAGGCGAAAGCAGUUUCAUACCUCGUAGAACAUCAACUCCGAUAAAAUUUGCAGCAUAUGACGCCCAACAUCACUGGUGUGAUUUUUGUUGCAAAGAGUUUAUCACUGUGGGCGAAAUAUUAACUCAUUUUUACAGUUCUGAGCAUCUAAAAAGUGUUGAUCCAUGUCAUCCUAUUAAUUUCAAAGAGCCAGUCAAAGAAGUGAUUGAAAGUGAUUAUGUUCUUAAGCCCAUUAAAGGAGUAGAAUUUGUCAAACCACAUCAUUCAUUUUAUUGCACUCUGUGUAAUGAAUCAUUGUUGAGUAAAAGCCAUGCUCAUCAGCAUUUAAAAGGACACACUCAUACUUUCAAUUACUAUAUGCAUUACAAUGAAGAAAAUCCUACGUAUGAUAUGUUUAGAGAGGUAAAGAAAACAUUGUAUAAACAUGGUUUGAUCAAAAACACCAAACAAAAUUUUGCUGAAAAGCGAUUAACAUUUGGUAAAAGGCGAUUUCUAUAUCCUAAAGCUGAUGGUAAGCAGGCAAAUAUUCUAGUAGAUAAUGAAAAAUCUACUAAUUGCAGAAUAGCUUCAAGAAAGAAAAUUGACAUUAAAAUUAAAAAUAGACCUAUGAUUGGACAGAUGCCCAACUAUAAAUCUCGUGCAAAUCUAAAAAAAAUUCUAAUACGAAAAGAAAAAGUUGGAGAUAAAAUCUCACUAACGGAAAAAAAUUCUCAAAAUAAUGAAGUCUGCAAAAACACAGAAGAAAAUCAGUUUCAAAAGGCAGAAGAAAAUAAUGUUUUAGAAAGAUCAGAGGUUAAUGCUUUAUUUGAUGAAGAAACAAAAGCUCAUAAUGAAACUUCUCUGAUUAAAGAGAAUGUACCAAAUAAGGAAAUGUGUAUGAACUCAGAAGAAAAUCAGUUUCAAAAGGCAGAAGAAAAUAAUGAUUUAGAAAAAUCAGAGGUUAAGGCUUUAUUUGAUGAAGAAACAAAAGCUCACAAUGAAACUUCUCUAACUAAAGAGAAUGUACCAAAUAAUGAAAUGUGUAUGAAUUUAGAAGAAAACCUGCUUCAAAAAAGAGAAGAGAAUUGUGACAUUUUUUUAGAAGAAUCUACUGUAAAUACUUUUGCUCAAAAAACAAAAGCUGAUAAUAAACCUUCACUAGCUAAGGAGAUUUCACAUAACUAUGAAAUACUUAAAAACACUAAGGGGAAACAGCUUCAAGAAAAUGACAAAAGUGAUAUUUAUUCAUUAAAAUCUGAAGUGAUGCUUAUUGAAGAAAGGCAGAACAAAACUAGCCUAGAACAGAAACUUCCUUUAAAAUUUUCCCCUCUCUUUACGCAAUGUGGGAAAAUGUCAUCUUUUCAUUUGGAUUCUCAAGAGAAUAAAGCUGAAAAUAUGUUUCCAAUUACACCUGAAGAAGAAGCAAAAACACGAGUAGAUUUAUCUUCUAAUAGUUUUGAUUUAAACAAUCCACUCUCAUCUUCACCUGCACAAGUUCUUUCUCAUGAAAUUAUAGUGGAUCAACCUAAUUCAGAUUUUGUUCAGACUACAGAUAUUCAUGAAAUUCAGGUGAACACAGAAAAGCUUAAUACUAAAAUGGAAACUGAAAUAAAUGUCCCUGGUGUGUCACCUCAUUCAUUUAAAAGGAAGUAUUCUGCUUGUGAUUCAAUUGAGAGAGACACUAAGAAACUAGCAAUAAGUUCAGACUCAGAAAAUGGAGCGCUUCAGAAUAUUGCAAGUGAAAAUCAAUCAUCUUUUGAAGCUACUUAUUAUUUAUAUUGUAGAGAUACUGAAAGUCAAUCUUCUCAGUUAAAUACUGCAGCUUUCAUUACAAACAAAAGUUCAAUAACUGAAUCUGAAACUUUGUUGGAUUGUGAAAAAACUUUAACAAGUUGUAUUAAAUACAAAUUACCAGCUAGAUAUGUAAUUAACGAUAUUUUUGGAGGUCGCAAUACGUCAAGUUUUAGAGUAAAAACUCAAAUUGACAAAGAUUUUCAAAAGUAUACAGUGCAGAGUCAGAAAGUAUUGACCUCUAUUAUAAAUAUGGUUGCCAAAAAUAUUGAUAAGGAACUUGAUACUGUAAAAAUUAAAAAUAAUGAAGCAACUUCUGACUUUAAAGAAUUUGCUGUUUCCCUGACAUCAGUACCAGACAAAGAGUAUAUUGAAGAAAUGAAAAGUGUAGUUAAAUCUCAUGAUAGCAGUCUACCAAUUUCAGCUGCAAAUGAUGUCCUAGAGCUCAAGAAUGAUAUUCACUUUUCAUUGAAAACUAAAUCAACUAAUGAAAGUAUUGCUCAAGAAAAUUCUGAGUAUGUACUCAGAGAAGGUAAUGCAGAGCUUAAAGAUGUUUCACUGGUUGAUGUGAAUUUAGCUGAUUGUGGUGAUUUUAAAGGUAAAAUUUCAAACGAGGUACAAGAAAUUUUGGGUAAUUUGAUAAAUAAAUUAGUUUCUGAUACUUCAAAGACUAUGAAAUCAAAUAUUUUGUUUGAUAAAAAUGAAAAUGUUAUUGUCUGCCAUUCAAAUCAAUUUUUUAAUGAUGCAUUUAAAGUAAGUGACGAAACUAUGAAAGAGCCUGAAUCAUCUCAAAAAUCUGAUGAACUUAAAGAAACAGAAAAGUUACUUGCUAGUUGCAGAAAAUGUUCUAUUCGUUUGACUGAUAUUUCGCGAGAGUGGAAAAAAAGAAAAUAUAAUGGAAAGAAAAUAUAUUAUCUACCACAUUUUAAAGGUGUUAGGCUGAAGUCAGAAAAUGAGGUUAAAAACUAUUGUAAAAAGCAGAAUACAGCAUUCCCACAUUAUUUGUUUUCAUCUAAGCAAAGGAAUAAUAAAGACUGAAUUUAAGUGAUUCUGCCUACAUGAUAUAGUGCAUCAAAUACAACUAAAGUUCUAGUCGGGACAGGAAAAGAAAGUAGUGACUUUCCCUUGGACACACACUUUUUCCAUUGGGUAAAAAACGAAUUGGACAGAACUAGUGCAGCUGGUUUAUUUAGUUCUUAUUCCAAGUGUUUUUCCUGAAAUCUAGUCAACUACCUGAUUGUGGAAAAGUAAAUCCUUGUAUGAUUGUACCUUUUCUAAAUUCUAUUUUGUUAACUUUACUUUUCUUACUGUGCAAUAUUAAUAUUGAGCAUUAUACAUAUAAAAAGGGAAAAUUUAUUAUUUGUCUUAUUGGCAAUACGUAAGGAUGAGAGUUAAACGAAAUGCUUUAUAAUCAGUGCAAUAUUGCAUACAUUUUUUUUAGUGCUUUCUAAAUUUUACUUUAUUUUCUUCAGUGAUAUCUAUAACAUCAGUUAAAUGGCGAAAGUCUAUUAAGAGAUUUUUUUUUAUAUAAUUAAUUAUAUUCUAUUUUAUGGCAGGGUGUAUAGUAACUUGAACAAACAGAAAAAUUUCUAAGUAAUAUCUUAUUAUAUUUCUUUAAUCUUUCAAUGCUAGUUUCAUGACUUACUUUUGUAACUAGAGUGCAUUGAAUUUUUUUUAAAAGUUAAAACUGUAAUUAUGAGGUUAAUAUAUUUUCAAGUUCAAUACAUAUCCUUAUUUAACUAAGUUAUGAUCGCUUUUCAUUAUUUCUUUACUGAGCUAAGUUACUUUUCUAAAAAUCCUUAUAUUAUAAAACUAGUAUCUUAAACGUUUAAUCCCAAUUUUUGAAAAAGAAAAAUGGUAUAAGAAUUUUUUUUGACAAACAUUUAUUUGUAAAUAAAUGCAGUUCUUAACCAUUUAAAGUGACAUUUAAAAAAAAAAUUACUUUAGUAGUUUAUUAGAAAAAUAUUAAUUCCAUUCAGUUUUGUUUUUCUUAAAGAGAGGCACUUAAGGUUAAAGAAACGUAAAAUUAUUUUCUGUCAGAGUUUUGCAUGAAAUUAAGUAUAUUUCAUAUAACAGUUAUGUUUACUAUGUUUAUUCUAUUGUUGUUUAAAAUAAAUUUUUGUUUAAGUUGC
Unclassified non-coding RNA from Parasteatoda tepidariorum (common house spider), 7494 nucleotides. Lineage: Eukaryota; Metazoa; Arthropoda; Arachnida; Araneae; Theridiidae. The record is from RefSeq and is a predicted model, not a curated record.